RNAcentral lists this ribosomal RNA (253 nucleotides) under uncultured bacterium. RNAcentral describes it as "partial 16S ribosomal RNA". It matches the Rfam family "Bacterial small subunit ribosomal RNA", at positions 524 to 776 of the family's 1533-position model. The record is from RNAcentral.
UACGUAGGGUGCGAGCGUUAAUCGGAAUUACUGGGCGUAAAGCGUGCGCAGGCGGUUCGCCAAGUCAGGUGUGAAAUCCCCGGGCUUAACCUGGGAAUUGCGCUUGAAACUAGCGGGCUUGAGUGUGGCAGAGGGGGGUGGAAUUCCACGUGUAGCAGUGAAAUGCGUAGAGAUGUGGAGGAAGACCGGUGGCGAAGGCGGCCUGCUGGGCAGUUUCUGACACUGAUGCGCGACAGCGUGGGGAGCAAACAGG